Molecule: ribosomal RNA, 445 nt
Filed under: uncultured bacterium
Lineage: Bacteria
Description: partial 16S ribosomal RNA
Rfam family: Bacterial small subunit ribosomal RNA
Source: RNAcentral
GUGAGGAAUAUUGCGCAAUGGAGGCAACUCUGACGCAGCCAUGCCGCGUGCAGGAAGAAGGCGCUACGCGUUGUAAACUGCUUUUAACCGGGAAGAAACCCCAGGACGUGUCCUGGGUUGACGGUACCGGAGGAAUAAGCACCGGCUAACUUCGUGCCAGCAGCCGCGGUAAUACGAAGGGUGCAAGCGUUAUCCGGCUUCAUUGGGUUUAAAGGGUGCGUAGGCGGAGCGUUAAGUCAGUGGUGAAAUCCUGCAGCUUAACUGUAGGCUUGCCAUUGAUACUGGCGCUCUUGAGUGCGCUUGAAGUGGGCGGAAUGUGCCGUGUAGCGGUGAAAUGCUUAGAUAUGGCACAGAACACCAAUUGCGAAGGCAGCUCACUAAGGCGAUACUGACGCUGAGGCACGAAAGCGUGGGGAUCGAACAGGAUUAGAAACCCUGGUAGUCC